Molecule: ribosomal RNA, 431 nt
Filed under: Methylophaga sp. ME01
Lineage: Bacteria; Pseudomonadati; Pseudomonadota; Gammaproteobacteria; Thiotrichales; Piscirickettsiaceae
Description: bacterial SSU rRNA
Rfam family: Bacterial small subunit ribosomal RNA
Source: RNAcentral
UGACGUUACCAACAGAAUAAGCACCGGCUAACUCCGUGCCAGCAGCCGCGGUAAUACGGAGGGUGCAAGCGUUAAUCGGAAUUACUGGGCGUAAAGCGCGCGUAGGCGGUUUGUUAAGUCAGAUGUGAAAUCCCCGGGCUCAACCUGGGAAUGGCAUUUGAGACUGGCAGGCUAGAGUAUGGUAGAGGUGAGUGGAAUUUCAGGUGUAGCGGUGAAAUGCGUAGAGAUCUGAAGGAACAUCAGUGGCGAAGGCGACUCACUGGGCCAUUACUGACGCUGAGGUGCGAAAGCGUGGGUAGCAAACAGGAUUAGAUACCCUGGUAGUCCACGCCCUAAACGAUGUCAACUAGGUGUAUGGAGAAUUUAUUCUUUGUGUAUCGAAGCUAACGCGAUAAGUUGACCGCCUGGGGAGUACGGUCGCAAGACUAAAA